GACGAACGCUGGCGGCGUGCUUAACACAUGCAAGUCGAACGGAAAGGCCCUGCUUUUGUGGGGUGCUCGAGUGGCGAACGGGGGAGUAACACGUGAGUAACCUGCCCUUGACUUUGGGAUAACUUCAGGAAACUGGGGCUAAUACCGGAUAGGAGCUCCUGCUGCAUGGGGGGGGUUGGAAAGUUUCGGCGGUUGGGGAUGGACUCGCGGCUUAUCAGCGUGUUGGUGGGGUAGUGGCUUACCAAGGCUUUGACGGGUAGCCGGCCUGAGAGGGUGACCGGCCACAUUGGGACUGAGAUACGGCCCAGACUCCUACGGGAGGCAGCAGUGGGGAAUAUUGCACGAUGGGCGGAAGCCUGAUGCAGCAACGCCGCGUGCGGGAUGACGGCCUUCGGGUUGUAACCCGCUUUCGCCUGUGACGAAGCGUGAGUGACGGUAAUGGGUAAAGAAGCACCGGCUAACUACGUG
RNAcentral lists this ribosomal RNA (468 nucleotides) under uncultured bacterium. Its description in RNAcentral is "partial 16S ribosomal RNA". It matches the Rfam family "Bacterial small subunit ribosomal RNA", at positions 28 to 507 of the family's 1533-position model. The record is from RNAcentral.